Molecule: ribosomal RNA, 253 nt
Filed under: uncultured bacterium
Lineage: Bacteria
Description: partial 16S ribosomal RNA
Rfam family: Bacterial small subunit ribosomal RNA
Source: RNAcentral
UACGAAGGGUGCAAGCGUUACUCGGAAUUACUGGGCGUAAAGCGUGCGUAGGUGGUGAGUUAAGUCUGUCGUGAAAGCCCCGGGCUCAACCUGGGAAUGGCGAUGGAUACUGGCUCGCUAGAGUGCGGUAGAGGAGAGUGGAAUUCCACGUGUAGCGGUGAAAUGCGUAGAGAUGUGGAGGAACACCAGUGGCGAAGGCGACUCUUUGGCCCGUAACUGACGCUGAGGCGCGAAAGCGUGGGGAGCAAACAGG